UUGAACGCGACAGGAGGCAAUACAAAGGUCGGGAGGGGGCGGGAGAGGUUCCUUACCUCAAGGCGGGCUCCGGGGACUCCUCGGUGGCGGCAAUGGCGCGACGGCGGCCCGGGUCGACAGUGGCGGACCUCCGCGGCUGCACGGAGGACGGCGGGUGAGCGCGGGCAGAGGGAAAUAGGGAGGGGGAAGAGGAAUUGGGGCGUGUCCCGGGUUGCGGACGCCGAGGCGAAGCUCACGGUGGCAGAGGGCACGGCGGAGCUCCAACGGCGACGGGGAAACGGGCUCGGGCGGCGAUGGUUAAUGGCGGCGGCGCUCUGGCGUGCGUGCAGCGUGGGGGAGGGAUCUGAGGCCGCCAUCAACACCCUCCUCCCCACGCCGUCGAUGGCGCGCGCAGAUCCAGUCUCCUUCAGGCAACACCGCGCCAUCAGCGGAAUCUCCUUCCGCCAUCAGCAGAAGGUGCCGAGGAUCUUGGGCAAGCAGGAGAGGGGGAGAGGAGGCCAAGGACACAACCGCGAAGCCAAACUCAUCCAAUCCGCCCCCUUCUGCCGGCCGCACCUCGACGGCUUCACCGUGCCCCCACCACAUCGCGACCAUGGCGAAGGAGCAGGCUGGCUAGCCCUCGGUCCGCCUCAGCCCGCCGCCAGGAGAGAUAAGGUAAGCCACCCACAGCCGCCGCCGCCGCUGCCCUACUCCCGCCCCAUCUCUCCCCCUAGUGUAGACGUCCACAAUACAUAUGGUGCACGGUUCUGCCAGGAGUCGAGGGGACACCAGGGCCCACCCGUCAUAAGGCGAACUCGAGGCCGCUCCGCCACCUCACCACAUUUCCCAAGCGUGCAGGGGACACCGCCCGUCAUCCACGCGCCGAGGAUCUCCUACCCCGCCAUCAACGCCCUCCUCCAUCAACGGAAGGUGGCCGAGGAUCCGCCCCACCCUCCUCCCCACGCCGUCGCCGAUGGAAGGUGCGAUCUCCUACCCCUCUGCUCCACCAUCAAUGCCCUCCUCCAUCCCCUUCCAUUGUUGCCGCUCCGCCACCACACCAUGUUUCCCAAACGCGCAGAUCCGAGGAUCCGCCAUCAAUGCCGCGCCCACCCUCCUCCCCCUCUGCUCCGCGAUGACAGGGAUCUAAGGCCGCCAUCAACGCCCUCCUCCCCACGCCGUCGAUGGCGCACGCAGAUCCAGUCUCCUUCAGGCAACACCGCGCCAUCAGCGGAAUCUCCUUCCGCCAUCAACAGAAGGUGUCGAGGAUCUUGGGCAAGCAGGAGAGGGGGAGAGGAGGCCAAGGACACAACCGCGAAGCCAAACUCAUCCAAUCCGACCCCUUCUGCCGGCCGCACCUCGACGGCUUCACCGUGCCCCCGCCACAUCGCGACCAUGGCGAAGGAGCAGGCUGGCUAG
This 1395-nucleotide unclassified non-coding RNA is filed under the name Zea mays. RNAcentral describes it as "misc RNA Zm00001eb122870". Lineage: Eukaryota; Viridiplantae; Streptophyta; Magnoliopsida; Poales; Poaceae. The record is from RNAcentral.